GAUGAACGCUGGCGGCGCGCCUAACACAUGCAAGUCGAACGGUUAAAGCACCUUCGGGUGUGUAUAAAGUGGCGAACGGCUGAGUAACACGUGGGCAACCUGCCCCUCGCACCGGGAUAGCCUCGGGAAACCGUGGUUAAUACCGGAUACUCCGGGACCCCCGCAUGGGGGUGCCGGGAAAGCCCUGACGGCGAGGGAUGGGCCCGCGGCCUGUUAGCUUGUUGGCGGGGUAACGGCCCACCAAGGCGAUUAUGGGUAGCCGGGUUGAGAGACCGACCGGCCAGAUUGGGACUGAGACACGGCCCAGACUCCUACGGGAGGCAGCAGUGGGGAAUCUUGCACAAUGGGCGAAAGCCUGAUGCAGCGACGCCGCGUGCGGGACGAAGGCCUUCGGGUUGUAAACCGCUUUCAGCAGGGACGAGGCCGCAAGGUGACGGUACCUGCAGAAGAAGCCCCGGCUAACUACGUG
This 469-nucleotide ribosomal RNA is filed under the name uncultured bacterium. RNAcentral's name for it is "bacterial SSU rRNA". It matches the Rfam family "Bacterial small subunit ribosomal RNA", at positions 28 to 507 of the family's 1533-position model. The record is from RNAcentral.